GAGCCCACGGCUCGCUUCGUAGUGGCACCCCCACGACGACCUCAGCUAGCUCGGGCUGUCACUUGUCUCUGCUACCCUCCUGUGCAACUGCCUCUGUCUCGAGACAGCCAUUUGGUCUGCUUCGUCCCCUCCGGUACCGCUCCUCCGUUUGUCGCCGCUGCGAACCUGAACCCGCUCCGAAGCCGAGCCGCCGCGUCCUUGCCGCUCCUCCCUGAACCGUAGCCCCGCCGCGCGACGUUCCAGCCCCUGCGCUCGCAGGUACCGCCGCCUCACGUGACAAACUCUGUCUCGCUCUUUAGUUAUACACACUCUCUCUUUUUUCUCCUUCUUUCUCUCGUGCCCUUCUUGUCUUGUCUCUUCUUCCCACCGUGGGUAGACGACCGAGGCCGUUCGACACCGACCACCAACGGCCGCCGCCGCACGUUUUGGUGUCCUCCUCGAGGAGAGCACCCCGAGCCCACGCCCCUUAGCACCCUCCUCCGACGCUCCUGCCCGCGCGAGCCCGCGAGCGAGCUAGAGGAGCACGAGCCGCCACCCACCCUCUCCUGACCUAGCCCUCCCCCGCCGCCGCCACCCCUCUAACCCUCGUCCCUCCUCCCCACGCUAUC
Molecule: ribosomal RNA, 608 nt
Filed under: Triticum aestivum (bread wheat)
Lineage: Eukaryota; Viridiplantae; Streptophyta; Magnoliopsida; Poales; Poaceae
Description: partial small subunit ribosomal RNA
Source: RNAcentral